This 509-nucleotide ribosomal RNA is filed under the name uncultured bacterium. Its description in RNAcentral is "partial 16S ribosomal RNA". It matches the Rfam family "Bacterial small subunit ribosomal RNA", at positions 28 to 506 of the family's 1533-position model. The record is from RNAcentral.
GACGAACGCUGGCGGCGUGCUUAACACAUGCAAGUCGAACGAAGAGCGAUGGAAGCUUGCUUCUAUCAAUCUUAGUGGCGAACGGGUGAGUAACGCGUAAUCAACCUGCCCUUCAGAGGGGGACAACAGUUGGAAACGACUGCUAAUACCGCAUACGAUCUAACCUCGGCAUCGAGGAAAGAUGAAAGGUGGCCUCUAUGUAUAAGCUAUCACUGAAGGAGGGGAUUGCGUCUGAUUAGCUAGUUGGAGGGGUAACGGCCCACCAAGGCGAUGAUCAGUAGCCGGUCUGAGAGGGUGAACGGCCACAUUGGGACUGAGACACGGCCCAGACUCCUACGGGAGGCAGCAGUGGGGAAUCUUCCGCAAUGGACGAAAGUCUGACGGAGCAACGCCGCGUGAGUGAUGACGGCCUUCGGGUUGUAAAGCUCUGUUAAUCGGGACGAAAGGCCUUCUUGCGAAUAGUGAGAAGGAUUGACGGUACCGGAAUAGAAAGCCACGGCUAACUACGU